AUGCCCCGCUACGUCCCCCUUCUGCUGCUCCUGCUUCUCCUGAGGUGUUCAGAACGGGGUGGAGGAGUUAAUUUUGGUGAGAAGGAUGCAAAAGUCCCCGGGACCUGGAGAGAUGGAGUCAGGGUCCCUGGAGAAGGAGCCUCUUGGGACUCAGACAGGGCCAGUCCCGAGCGAAGGUACGGAAUAGUAGGACUAAGCCAAAGCAUUUCCACUAAGCACCCAGAGACCAGCCCUAAAGACUCAAGAAUAAGAGAAAAUGAUGUAACUGCAGAUGGAAGGACCACUGAGGACCACAUCACUGCAGACCCAGGGACCACCGAGGACUCUGUCACUGCAGACCCAGGGACCACUGAGGACAAUGUGACUGUGGACCCAGGGACCACCGAGGGCUCUGUCACUGCAGACCCAGCGACCACCAAGGACUAUGUGUCUGCAGACCCAGGGACCACCAAGGAUUCUGUCACUGCAGACCCAGGGACCACUCACUGAGAACUUUGUCACUGCAGACCCAGGGACCACCAAGGACUCCAUCACUGCAGACCCAAGGACCACAGAGGACUCCGUCACUGCAGACCCAGGGACCACCAAACACUCCAUCACUGUAGACCCAGGGACCACUGAGGACUCUGUCACUGCAGACCCAGGGACCACCAAACACUCCAUCACUGCAGACCCAGGGACCACCGAGGACUCCGUCACUGCAGACCCAGGGACCACAGAAGAUGAAACCACUAAACAUGGUGACACUCACCUUCUGUGA
This 760-nucleotide long non-coding RNA is filed under the name Homo sapiens (human). Its description in RNAcentral is "HLA complex group 22 (ENSG00000228147.6)". The record is from RNAcentral. Lineage: Eukaryota; Metazoa; Chordata; Mammalia; Primates; Hominidae.